RNAcentral lists this ribosomal RNA (500 nucleotides) under uncultured bacterium. RNAcentral's name for it is "partial 16S ribosomal RNA". It matches the Rfam family "Bacterial small subunit ribosomal RNA", at positions 30 to 523 of the family's 1533-position model. The record is from RNAcentral.
AUUGAACGCUGGCGGCAGGCCUAACACAUGCAAGUCGAGCGGAUGACGGGAGCUUGCUCCUUGAUUCAGCGGCGGACGGGUGAGUAAUGCCUAGGAAUCUGCCUGGUAGUGGGGGACAACGUUUCGAAAGGAACGCUAAUACCGCAUACGUCCUACGGGAGAAAGCAGGGGACCUUCGGGCCUUGCGCUAUCAGAUGAGCCUAGGUCGGAUUAGCUAGUAGGUGAGGUAAUGGCUCACCUAGGCGACGAUCCGUAACUGGUCUGAGAGGAUGAUCAGUCACACUGGAACUGAGACACGGUCCAGACUCCUACGGGAGGCAGCAGUGGGGAAUAUUGGACAAUGGGCGAAAGCCUGAUCCAGCCAUGCCGCGUGUGUGAAGAAGGUCUUCGGAUUGUAAAGCACUUUAAGUUGGGAGGAAGGGCAGUAAGCUAAUACCUUGCUGUUUUGACGUUACCGACAGAAUAAGCACCGGCUAACACUGUGCCAGCCGCCGCAGUAA